This 541-nucleotide ribosomal RNA is filed under the name uncultured bacterium. Its description in RNAcentral is "bacterial SSU rRNA". It matches the Rfam family "Bacterial small subunit ribosomal RNA", at positions 777 to 1318 of the family's 1533-position model. The record is from RNAcentral.
AAUAGAUACCCUGGUAGUCCACGCCGUAAACGUUGGAUACUAGGUGUGGCGGUUAUACCAAUGACUGCCGUGCCGAAGCUAACGCAUUAAGUAUCCCGCCUGGGGAGUACGGCCGCAAGGCUAAAACUCAAAGGAAUUGACGGGUCCCCGCACAAGCGGCGGAGCAUGCGGCUUAAUUCGAUGCAACCCGAAGAACCUUACCUGGGUUUGACAUCACGGGAAAAGCUGUAGAAAUACAGUGUCCAUUAGGGCCCGUGACAGGUGGUGCAUGGCUGUCGUCAGCUCGUGUCGUGAGAUGUUGGGUUAAGUCCCGCAACGAGCGCAACCCUUGUCCUAUGUUGCCAGCGGUUCGGCCGGGGACUCAUAGGAGACUGCCGGGGAUAACUCGGAGGAAGGUGAGGACGACGUCAAGUCAUCAUGCCCCUUAUAUCCAGGGCUGCACGCAUGCUACAAUGGCCGGUACAACGGGCAGCGACCCCGCGAGGGUGAGCGAAUCCUAAAAAGCCGGUCCUAGUUCGGAUUGAAGUCUGCAACUCGACUU